Molecule: ribosomal RNA, 324 nt
Filed under: uncultured bacterium
Lineage: Bacteria
Description: bacterial SSU rRNA
Rfam family: Bacterial small subunit ribosomal RNA
Source: RNAcentral
AUUGAACGCUGGCGGCAUGCCUUACACAUGCAAGUCGAACGGCAGCACGGGAGCAAUCCUGGUGGCGAGUGGCGAACGGGUGAGUAAUAUAUCGGAACGUGCCCAGUCGUGGGGAUAACGUAGCGAAAGCUACGCUAAUACCGCAUACGAUCUAUGGAUGAAAGCGGGGGAUCGCAAGACCUCGCGCGAUUGGAGCGGCCGAUAUCAGAUUAGGUAGUUGGUGAGGUAAAAGGGCUCACCAAGCCGACGAUCUGUAGCUGGUCUGAGAGGACGACCAGCCACACUGGGACUGAGACACGGCCCAGACUCCUACGGAGGCAGCAG